GCGGAUGUGGCGGAAUUGGUAGACGCGCUAGAUUUAGGUUCUAGUGCCCUCGUGGCGUGAAGGUUCAAGUCCUUUCAUCCGCA
Molecule: transfer RNA, 83 nt
Filed under: Leptolyngbya sp. SIO1E4
Lineage: Bacteria; Bacillati; Cyanobacteriota; Cyanophyceae; Leptolyngbyales; Leptolyngbyaceae
Also listed under: 19 other names
Description: tRNA-Leu
Rfam family: tRNA
About the family: Transfer RNA (tRNA) molecules are approximately 80 nucleotides in length. Their secondary structure includes four short double-helical elements and three loops (D, anti-codon, and T loops).
Source: RNAcentral